CCGGCCCUCCGCGAGCACCCGCGGGGGUUCGGGUUCCGGACCCGGUCCGAUCCCGUUCCCACCGAGGGGCUGUCCGCGACUGAGGAGGUGUCCUCGGACGGCGUCGAAUCAUUCUCCGGUCCGCGACGCUACGGCUUGGAUGGUCCACCCGACCCGUCUUGAAACACGGACCAAGGAGUCUAACAUGCGCGCGAGUCGUUGGGUCGGACACGCUCCGCUAAACCCAUAGGCGCAAUGAAAGUGAAGGCCGCCGUCAGGGCGGCCGAGGGAGGACGAGGCCGCACCCGCGUUCCGGCGCGGUCGGCCUCCGCACCCCCGGGGCGUCUGAUCCCUCAUCGCGAGGGGAGGCGCACCCAGAGCGCACACGUUGGGACCCGAAAGAUGGUGAACUAUGCCUGGCCAGGACGAAGUCAGGGGAAACCCUGAUGGAGGUCCGUAGCGAUUCUGACGUGCAAAUCGAUCGUCGGAGCUGGGUAUAGGGGCGAAAGACUAAUCGAACCAUCUAGUAGCUGGUUCCCUCCGAAGUUUCCCUCAGGAUAGCUUGCGCUCGGAGGAGAGUCUCAUCCGGUAAAGCGAAUGAUUAGAGGCCUUGGGGCCGAAACGGCUUCAACCUAUUCUCAAACUUUAAAUGGGUGAGAACUCCGGCUUGCUCGACUUGUCGAAGCCGGAGACGGAUCGGAGUGCAUAUGGGCCACUUUUGGUAAGCAGAACUGGCGCUGUGGGAUGAACCAAACGACGGGUUAAGGCGCCCGAAUCGACGCUCAUGGGAAACCAUGAAAGUGUUGGUUGCUUAAGACAGCAGGACGGUGGCCAUGGAAGUCGGAAUCCGCUAAGGAGUGUGUAAUAACUCACCUGCCGAAGCAACUAGCCCUGAAAAUGGAUGGCGCUGAAGCGUCGUGCCUAUACCCGGCCGUCGCGGCAGGGCGGACCCGUUCGUCGGGUGCCGUUCGAUGCGGCGACGAGUAGGAGGGUCGCGGCGGCGCGCGCAGAAGGGUCUGGGCUCGAGCCUGCCUGGAGCCGCCGCCGGUGCAGAUCUUGGUGGUAGUAGCAAAUACUCCAGCGAGGCCCUGGAGGACUGAUGUGGAGAAGGGUUUCGUGUGAACAGCCGUUGCACACGAGUCAGUCGAUCCUAAGCCCUAGGAGAAAUCCGACGCCAACGGCGACGGGACUGAAUGAAAGAGAAAGAAACCCGUUGAUCGGGCGAAAGGGAAUCCGGUUCCUAUUCCGGAACCCGGCAGCGGAACCGCUGUUUGUCGGGCCCUCACAAGGGGUUCGUCAGGGUAACCUAAAAGGGCCCGGAGACGCCGUCGGGAGCCCCGGAAAGAGUUUUCUUUUCUGCAUGAGCGUUCGAGUUCCCUGGAAUCCU
RNAcentral lists this ribosomal RNA (1366 nucleotides) under Coryphagrion grandis. RNAcentral describes it as "partial 28S ribosomal RNA". It matches the Rfam family "Eukaryotic large subunit ribosomal RNA", at positions 605 to 1729 of the family's 3401-position model. The record is from RNAcentral. Lineage: Eukaryota; Metazoa; Arthropoda; Insecta; Odonata; Coenagrionidae.